Eptesicus fuscus (big brown bat) is the source of this 333-nucleotide long non-coding RNA. RefSeq lists it as uncharacterized. Lineage: Eukaryota; Metazoa; Chordata; Mammalia; Chiroptera; Vespertilionidae. The record is from RefSeq and is a predicted model, not a curated record. The transcript is spliced from 4 exons.
GCAGGAAGAACCCACACAGAAGUCAUGAUGUGCCCUUGACUAGAGUGGAAGACUCUGAAAGAUUCCACAUGUCCUGUUGAAGCACCUGUCUUCAGGAGAAGGGGAUGCACCCUCUGGCUUGUUGAAUCAUUUUUCUAAGCUUCUCCCUCUUCUAGAUCAUCAGAGUCCUUUCCAUUCCACAUGGGGAAAGCCAAAAAGGAUUACGGAGAAGGGAAGACCAGGAAGGAGAAAAGAUGCUCACAAUCACACCCCAGAAACAAAGCCCAGUUCCACAGUCACUCCUAACAGUAAGAAAAUUGGGGCAGAGAGAAGUGACUUGUCCUUUAUCACCAG